GUAUCUGCUCAUUUUAUCUGGACGCCUUAUUGUUAAUAGUCUCCUCUGCCCAGGCAGCUGUGCCUGUGACAGCAGAACAACAUGUUCCCGCCAGUACAGCCUGUGGAGUUAUUUCAUGUCCGACAAGAGAUAAAAUCCCUUUGUCACUUGUGUGACUGGUGUGAGCCAUCUGGUAGCAGACAUCCUUUGAGGAGAGUUCGGCUGCAAAAAGGCAUUAAACACUUUGGCCUUCUCAGCAUCUUCUGUUUAUAUCUUUCCUCCCCUCAGAGCAGCAGACCAAAGCUUUCUCAGCCUUCCUCUUACCAGUAGUGCAAUUACAGAAGGAUUUCCUGUUACUCCUUACAGUCACAGCCUUUCUGCUUUUCUCCUCCGAAACACUGUGUUACUUUUACUGUUGCAGCUAUGGUGGUUUUUUUAGCUGCCGUCUUCUGCAUCUGGAUGGGUAGCAGAACCUUCCCCAAUAGCGGCUUGCUUAUCCAGCCUCUGUUCUCCCAGCCUAUUUGUUUCCCUGUGGCUUUACCUAUCACCCUUUGAGGAUGGUGAAAUCUGCUUUUUUGAGUAUCUAUUGCCUCAUACUUUUCCUCUUUUCACAAAAUAGUGAACUCCGCAACUGCAGAAGCAGAAGGCUGCUCCCAUCAUGACCUCUACACUUGUUGAACAGUUAACCCCAUUGUAGUAUUUUUCCAAAUACUUAAAGUACUUCAUUACCAACAAGUCCUUUGGAUGUAGAAAUAUAAAAGCAUUUAGAAAUCAAAAUUAACUUCACAUCAUGCUUUUGUGUGCUCAAACAGUAGCCCACAGAUGUGUUAACAAAUGAAGACAAUAGAAAAAAUUCUUGCUUUUAAGUUUUUAAAAAUGUAAGUCACCCUUGGUACAGUAGACUCAGUUCAAAGAUAAAGGUAAAUACAAAUCUUAGGUCUUUUGUUCUAAUUGAGCAAGCUGUUGGAAAUGUGAAAACUGUACAUAGCUUUUCAAUACAUUUUGUACUUAACUUUUUUUUUUUCCCAAAAAAAAUAUAAUAAUUUAAAUCUCAGCUGCAGCCCAAUGAAACCAAUGAAUAAUUACUUGCAUUCACUGAUGGGUUUUCACUAUGACUGAGGUAUGGAGCAAGAUGCAAUGUAGAAUGUUCAAUCUUUUAUGUUAAAUCUCAGUGAACAAAUUUGGGAGGGAUAAUUUUAUUUCUUGCUUAUAUACAUAAUGCUAUUAUCUUCAUGAUUACCAUGUCAUAUUUUAUUGGUUUUACAAGAAGCAUAGAGUAUUCUUAAAAAACACAACACAUUAUUAAUGACCUUGAAAAGGGAUCUUGUAAAAUGUAGACUAAAAUACCAUUCUAAAGUAAAAAUAACAGUUUCUUGAUGUUGUCUUUAGCUUCUCUGUCUUUCAGAGUAAUUUAUACUGCUUUAAAGUCUUAACAAACAAAUAAGUGUUAUGAUAAACAAUAAAUUACCAAAAUAUUGAUGCA
RNAcentral lists this long non-coding RNA (1462 nucleotides) under Anser brachyrhynchus (Pink-footed goose). RNAcentral describes it as "lncRNA (ENSABRG00000002991.1)". Lineage: Eukaryota; Metazoa; Chordata; Aves; Anseriformes; Anatidae. The record is from RNAcentral.